RNAcentral lists this ribosomal RNA (254 nucleotides) under uncultured bacterium. RNAcentral describes it as "partial 16S ribosomal RNA". It matches the Rfam family "Bacterial small subunit ribosomal RNA", at positions 524 to 776 of the family's 1533-position model. The record is from RNAcentral.
GACAGAGGGUGCAAACGUUGCUCGGAAUUACUGGGCGUAAAGCGCGUGUAGGCGGACCCGCAAGUCGGACGUGAAAUCCCUGAGCUCAACUCAGGAACUGCAUCCGAAACUGCGGGUCUGGAGUGGUGGAGAGGGAAGCAGAAUUCCUGGUGUAGAGGUGAAAUUCGUAGAUAUCAGGAGGAACACCGGUGGCGAAGGCGGCUUCCUGGACACUUACUGACGCUGAGUGAGCGAAAGCCAGGGGAGCAAACGGG